Molecule: ribosomal RNA, 254 nt
Filed under: uncultured bacterium
Lineage: Bacteria
Description: partial 16S ribosomal RNA
Rfam family: Bacterial small subunit ribosomal RNA
Source: RNAcentral
UACGGGGGGAGCAAGCGUUGUUCGGAUUUACUGGGCGUAAAGGGCGCGUAGGCGGUCAGCACAAGUCAGUUGUGAAAUCUCCGGGCUUAACUCGGAAAGGUCAACUGAUACUGUGCGACUAGAGUGCAGAAGGGACAACUGGAAUUCUCGGUGUAGCGGUGAAAUGCGUAGAUAUCGAGAGGAACACCUGCGGCGAAGGCGGGUUGCUGGGCUGACACUGACGCUGAUGCGCGAAAGCCAGGGGAGCGAACGGG